Molecule: transfer RNA, 74 nt
Filed under: Scleropages formosus (Asian bonytongue)
Lineage: Eukaryota; Metazoa; Chordata; Actinopteri; Osteoglossiformes; Osteoglossidae
Description: tRNA-Ile
Rfam family: tRNA
About the family: Transfer RNA (tRNA) molecules are approximately 80 nucleotides in length. Their secondary structure includes four short double-helical elements and three loops (D, anti-codon, and T loops). Further hydrogen bonds mediate the characteristic L-shaped molecular structure. tRNAs have two regions of fundamental functional importance: the anti-codon, which is responsible for specific mRNA codon recognition, and the 3' end, to which the tRNAs corresponding amino acid is attached (by aminoacyl-tRNA synthetases). tRNAs cope with the degeneracy of the genetic code in two manners: having more than one tRNA (with a specific anti-codon) for a particular amino acid; and 'wobble' base-pairing, i.e. permitting non-standard base-pairing at the 3rd anti-codon position.
Source: RNAcentral
GCUCCAGUAGCGCAAUGGGUUAGCGCAUGGUACUUAUAAUGCCAAGGUUGURAGUUCAAACCUCACCUGGAGCA